This 546-nucleotide long non-coding RNA is filed under the name Coffea arabica (coffee). RNAcentral's name for it is "long non-coding RNA (CARA_LNC007413)". Lineage: Eukaryota; Viridiplantae; Streptophyta; Magnoliopsida; Gentianales; Rubiaceae. The record is from RNAcentral.
GUUCUUGAAGUGCAACCUUGUGAACCAACCUUUGGAAGGUAAAGCAGCCUUGAACUCUUGUAAAAGCUUGUAGCAAUUGAGUAGAAAUGUUAAUUUUGAUGUUGUAAGAUGCUAAUAAGGGUUAAUGAUGGUUUAUAUAUCACUUUUGUGGGUUUGUAUGGAAGAUUUGGUGAUUUUUAUGGUGGUUUGAGAAAAUUCCAGCAAGUGAUACAAAUUUCCAGUUUUGAUGCUUUAAAUUUCUGUUAUGAUGGAUAUGGUGCAUGUUCUUGAGUUAGGGUUGAGGUUUUCAACUGUAUUUCUUGUUGGUUAGAUGGUAUAUGAUGUAUAUAAGUUGGUAUAAGAGGUGGUAGUGAUGAUUUCAAGCUAAAAAUGAGAUUUAUACCUUGAUUGUAGCAAAUUUCCACGCGGUUCUAAUUCACCAUGUUAGAGGCCGAAUUUGGCUUAACCUAAAACAUGAAAGUUGUAGAAAAUGAUGUUUUAUAGUUGCUUGCAAAAUUUCAGCUCAAUCAGAGCAGAGUAUCUUGUGAAAUGACAAAAUUGCCCCUG